AGGAUGAACGCUAGCGGCAGGCUUAACACAUGCAAGUCGAGGGGCAGCGGGGUAGCAAUACCGCCGGCGACCGGCAAACGGGUGCGGAACACGUACGCAACAUACCCUUGUCUGGGGCAUAGCCCGAAGAAAUUCGGAUUAACACCCCAUAAGAUAAUAGAGUGGCAUCACUUAAGUUAAUUAAAAAAUUUAUUGGACAGGGAUUGGCGUGCGUCCUAUUAGCUAGUUGGUAUGGGUAACGGCCUACCAAGGCGACGAUAGGUAGCUGGUGUGAGAGCACGACCAGCCACACGGGCACUGAGACACGGGCCCGACUCCUACGGGAGGCAGCAGUGAGGAAUAUUGGUCAAUGGACGCAAGUCUAGAACCAGCCAUGCCGCGUGAAGGAUGAAGGCGUUCUGCGUUGUAAAACUUUCUUUUAACCGAAGGGAAAGAAAACCUGUAAUUUUUACUAAAAUUCAAGCCGACGGUACCUGAAGGAAAUAAGACAACCGGUACUAAACCUCCGUGCCAGACAGCCGAC
Molecule: ribosomal RNA, 523 nt
Filed under: uncultured soil bacterium
Lineage: Bacteria
Description: bacterial SSU rRNA
Rfam family: Bacterial small subunit ribosomal RNA
Source: RNAcentral